CCUACGGGAGGCAGCAGUGGGGAAUAUUGCACAAUGGGGGAAACCCUGAUGCAGCGACGCCGCGUGAAGGAAGAAGUAUUUCGGUAUGUAAACUUCUAUCAGCAGGGAAGAAAAUGACGGUACCUGACUAAGAAGCCCCGGCUAACUACGUGCCAGCAGCCGCGGUAAUACGUAGGGGGCAAGCGUUAUCCGGAUUUACUGGGUGUAAAGGGAGCGUAGGCGGUUUAGCAAGUCAGAAGUGAAAGCCCGGGGCUCAACUCCGGGACUGCUUUUGAAACUGUUGAACUAGAGUGCAGGAGAGGUAAGUGGAAGUCCUAGUGUAGCGGUGAAAUGCGUAGAUAUUAGGAGGAACACCAGUGGCGAAGGCGGCUUACUGGACUGUAAAUGACGCUGAGGCUCGAAAGCGUGGGGAGCAAACAGGAUUAGAUACCCUUGUAGUC
Molecule: ribosomal RNA, 440 nt
Filed under: uncultured bacterium
Lineage: Bacteria
Description: partial 16S ribosomal RNA
Rfam family: Bacterial small subunit ribosomal RNA
Source: RNAcentral